UUAUUUUGUCGUUUCAAAAUUGUUCAUAAAUAAUGUCUUCUCAUUUUAAUAAACCAAUAGCUUCUUCCGUCUACAAGAUUGAUUUCAAUGUUGAAUAACUCAAACUCACCUUACAUCGUUGAUCAACAUUCUCUGAAUAAGCACUUGUGUUUUGGUGGUUGGAUGCUGUGAACUUCCUUGUGAAUACGCUUCGCAGUCUUCAAAUAACUCUAGUAACGUUUCAAGUGAAGUCAAUUCACAACUUUAAUCUCAUCAUCAAUCAGCCGUGAUACUUGUGUAGGAGUAAAUUCCAUGAUUGAUGAAAACUUAAGUCUGUUUCAUUCAAAGAUAAAAAGGUACCAUAUUCUUCCCGAAAAACUCAGCAAGUAAUCG
Cotesia glomerata is the source of this 372-nucleotide long non-coding RNA. RefSeq lists it as uncharacterized. The record is from RefSeq and is a predicted model, not a curated record. Lineage: Eukaryota; Metazoa; Arthropoda; Insecta; Hymenoptera; Braconidae. The transcript has 3 exons.